Molecule: ribosomal RNA, 450 nt
Filed under: uncultured bacterium
Lineage: Bacteria
Description: partial 16S ribosomal RNA
Rfam family: Bacterial small subunit ribosomal RNA
Source: RNAcentral
GUGGGGAAUUUUGGACAAUGGGCGCAAGCCUGAUCCAGCAAUGCCGCGUGCAGGAAGAAGGCCUUCGGGUUGUAAACUGCUUUUGUACGGAACGAAACGGUCCUGGUUAAUACCUGGGGCUAAUGACGGUACCGUAAGAAUAAGCACCGGCUAACUACGUGCCAGCAGCCGCGGUAAUACGUAGGGUGCGAGCGUUAAUCGGAAUUACUGGGCGUAAAGCGUGCGCAGGCGGUGCUGUAAGACAGGCGUGAAAUCCCCGAGCUCAGCCUGGGAAUUGCGCUUGUGACUGCAGUGCUGGAGUACGGCAGAGGGGGAUGGAAUUCCGCGUGUAGCAGUGAAAUGCGUAGAUAUGCGGAGGAACACCGAUGGCGAAGGCAGUCCCCUGGGCCUGUACUGACGCUCAUGCACGAAAGCGUGGGGAGCAAACAGGAUUAGAAACCCUUGUAGUCC